This 2879-nucleotide long non-coding RNA is filed under the name Hordeum vulgare. RNAcentral describes it as "long non-coding RNA (HVUL_LNC002267)". The stretch from base 1429 to 1552 matches the Rfam family "MIR1120/MIR1122 microRNA precursor family". Lineage: Eukaryota; Viridiplantae; Streptophyta; Magnoliopsida; Poales; Poaceae. The record is from RNAcentral.
AUGUUGUCGCUGAUAUGCUGAACAGGGGAACUUAUCGCGAAGCGAUUGGUGUUAUCCUUCCAUUUUAACUGCAGGAGGCGUUCCCGCUCGCGGACAUACUGAUUUACAUCGUUGACAAGGUUGUGUGCAAUAGGAAGAAGCAAGAGAUCGAGGUGGGGUGUGAUUUGGUAGGAUUGGUAUGUUUUGUAGUUUUCUCAUGCAAUCAGUUUAUCAGUACUGAAAAGAGAGUUAACUGAUGUAUGUAGUCAGAAGGAUUUAAUGACAGACCUGGCAAAUUCUUUCCACUAUUGCGUAGAUUCGAUAACCAUUAUAGAUGUCAGAUAUAAUAUUCAACACCUUCAUAUGUUGUGAUAUAUUUCAAUAACUAUUAUAUCAGAUGUUACCUAUAAUCUUCCGCACCUUCUAUAUGUCGUGAUAUACUCAGUAACCUUUGUAUAAUACUCCUUCCGUAAACUAAUAUAAGAGCAUUUAGAACACUACUUUAGUAAUCUAAACGCUCUUAUAUUAGUUUACAGAGGGAAUAUGUUAAAUAUAGUCUUCAGCACCUUUUGUAUAUCACGAUGCAACGAUAUAUUCGAUAACCAUUAUGUAUCCUGUGCUAUAUUUAAUCGUCGCGAUAUAUUCUAGAACCAUUAUAUAUCCUGUGCUAUAUUUAGUAGUGUUGGAUGAACGGCUAGGCAGAGCUUCAGGAUCUGAACAUGCUUGCUGGAGCACUCCUUUAAACUUGCCUUUUACAGUUCUUUUCUCCCUACUAAUCCCUGGGUGCUAGCUUUAUUUUAUUUCUAUACCAGUUAUCUAUCAUAUAUACACAGAACAUCAAGUUAUAGGUUCUAAAUUUUUUUGUAUUAAAUUCUUUCGGGGUUUGAGCCUGCUCCAAAGGAUCUAUCAGUUUUUUCCCGUAAAAAAAAAGUUGGCUUUUGCCGAACACAGUGCAUCUUGUUCUGUUCUGUGCAGCAUGGAGCGCAACCACAGAAUAUGACUAUAGGCCUGCACCAAAUAUAUGAAAUCUACACAUGUAGGAUAUUGCGUUUGUGAUGUUUUAAUGUUAGAUAUCAUAAUGUGCACUACCUUUUGACUAUAGGCUAUUGUUGUAGCUAGACAGAAUGCAGCUGCAAAACAUGUUAAGUUGGAGCUGAGCAUCCUAACUUAACAUAGUACCACAUCUUUCUCGUUUUGAACAGAAUUACAUGUUAAAUAAGAAAUGAUAAUUCAUGUACAUCAGGUAGAGUCCAGCAAAAAUAUAUUUCUGUUGUUAGAUUAUAUCUCACUUGCAGAUUUGGCCAUGUUCCAAUUAGUUCCAGUCGCUUCACUGGACACAAACCAUAUCCUCUAGAUUUAUUUUAACUUUAAUUCCCUCUUCUCUAGGCCUCUAACUAUCAGGGAAUCCACAUUCAUUCUCAUGGGAUGUGCAUUAGUAUGAAGGGCACACACAUACUCCCUCCAUCCGGGAAUAAUUGUCCUAGAAAUGAAUGUAUCUAGACUUAUUUUAGUUAUAGGUACAUCCAUUUUAUUCAUUUCCAGAACAAGUAUAUCCGGACGGAGGGAGUAUAUGCUAAGUUUAGGUAGUUUGUACAACUGCAAAAUAUUUGUAGCCCUUGUGAUAAGACAUCAUAUUUCACAUGCAGGAUUUAGCAGGUAAGUCUGACUUCUCACCUGAAUGCACCUGAAAAUAAACCUUGACUUCUGACUGUUGCAAGAAAGCUACAUUUUAAGUGCGGUACAUAUCAAGCAUAAAAUGAAAGAGAUGACUUAAGAGGAGAAAAAUCACAGUAGGAUUCCUAGAACGGGAAGACCUCAGAUCUUGGAUCUGGCUGCUCUUGGACAGGGAAGACCUUGAAUCUUAGGUUUCUUUUCUCCUGGUCAUGGAAGAUGUCAAAGCUUGGGACUGGUUGCUCGGGUUUGAGAGAUGCAGAUCAACCUUUAUGGCCAGGCUGUGAACCGGCUUCUCCAACGUCUUGAGACCGAGCCAGAUCAGGUUUGAGAGUGGUAGCUAGACCAUCCCAUCAAUCUAUCUUCUGUUGUUGCAGUAAAGACCAAGUCUGUUUAAGGAAUUAUAGGAAGACAUGUUAGUUUUGUCCCUUGUCACUCAUACAUCUUCUGCAUUUUCAUCAUUAUAUUGUAGUUUUACCUGAAGUCAAAGCUUGGUUUACAGGACACUAAGAACCAUUGUAUGUUCUUGCAGAUUGUUGGCUGAGCUUACACCCCUUCAGAAAAUUCGAAAGAAUGAGGUCUUCCACUCAACAUAUACACCCAACUUUUCUUUUUCUUUUUUGCUUUUCAGUUUCUCAUGUUCUACCAUAAAGCACCAAGUGUCCAUAUAUGUAUUGAAUUUUAACUUCACUCUUUUUAUUUGUUAUGAAAUUUUGCUCAUGCCCUUCACCGAACCUUCCUUUUUAGGAAAUUUUGCAAGUGGAGAUUAGAAGGAUUAUUCUAAACUGGUGGAUGAAGCUAUGUGUUCUCUUAGUUUAGUGGACUUUUAUAUGUUUGCAUAGUUUUUGUUCUUCAAAAUGAAGCUUGGAAUAUUUUAGAAUUUUUUAGCGAACUUAAGUUUCAUGUAUGAAGGAUUGUCAUUGGAAAUAGAUACAUUUUUGUUGUAGAAGUUUUAUGUCAGACUUACUAUCUUGUAAACUAAGUUUACGUAUGUUCGAACUUAAACCUGGAUGGCUGAUUCAACAAUUUCUUCUUUGUCGUUGUGAACCAACCUUUGCGUGCGUAAUUCAACAUGUUUUUUUGGUCAUUUUAUAGUUAAUCAAACGGACAAAUAAACACUAGCAUAGAGUAGAGGAUUCGGCCAUCACACACAUCUCAUGCAUCAGAUCAAAUUCACUAGUAACUCACAAGUUCUCUCAUACAAAUUUAACUACUAUCUCAAUUUCCAG